This is a non-coding RNA of Picea glauca (white spruce), 45 nucleotides long. Lineage: Eukaryota; Viridiplantae; Streptophyta; Pinopsida; Pinales; Pinaceae. The record is from Rfam.
GCAAUGGUGUCUUUAGACACUACCAAUAUUUUUUGAAGUUUAUUU